AAUUGGAGGGCAAGUCUGGUGCCAGCAGCCGCGGUAAUUCCAGCUCCAAUAGCGUAUAUUAAAGUUGUUGCAGUUAAAAAGCUCGUAGUUGAAUUUCGGGAUCAAUAUUUCGGUCAUGCCGUUGGUAUGCACUGCUAUCAUUGAUUUCUCACCUUCUAAAGAACCGUAAUGCCAUUAAUUUGGUGUUACGGGGAAUUAGGACUGUUACCUUGAAAAAAUUAGAGUGUUUAAAGCAGGCUCACGCUUGAAUACAUUAGCAUGGAAUAAUGAAAUAGGACAUCCGAUUCUAUUUUGUUGGUUUCUAGGAUCGAUGUAAUGAUUAAUAGGGAUAGUUGGGGGCAUUAGUAUUCAAUUGUCAGAGGUGAAAUUCUUGGAUUUAUUGAAGACUAACUACUGCGAAAGCAUUUGCCAAGGAUGUUUUCAUUAAUCAAGAACGAAAGUUAGGGGAUCGAAGACGAUCAGAUACCGUCGUAGUCUUAACCAUAAACUAUGCCGACUAGGGAUCGGAUGAUGUUAAUUUUUUAAUGACUCAUUCGGCGCCUUACGGGAAACCAAAGUGU
RNAcentral lists this ribosomal RNA (560 nucleotides) under uncultured Glomus. RNAcentral describes it as "SSU rRNA". It matches the Rfam family "Eukaryotic small subunit ribosomal RNA", at positions 546 to 1106 of the family's 1831-position model. The record is from RNAcentral. Lineage: Eukaryota; Fungi; Glomeromycota; Glomeromycetes; Glomerales; Glomeraceae.